GCGCCCGUAGCUCAGCUGGAUAGAGCAUUGGUCUUCGAAACCAAGGGUCGGCGGUUCGAACCCGUCCGGGCGCA
Molecule: transfer RNA, 74 nt
Filed under: Deltaproteobacteria bacterium
Lineage: Bacteria; Pseudomonadati; Myxococcota; Myxococcia
Description: tRNA-Arg
Rfam family: tRNA
About the family: Transfer RNA (tRNA) molecules are approximately 80 nucleotides in length. Their secondary structure includes four short double-helical elements and three loops (D, anti-codon, and T loops).
Source: RNAcentral